This 371-nucleotide ribosomal RNA is filed under the name uncultured organism. RNAcentral describes it as "bacterial SSU rRNA". It matches the Rfam family "Bacterial small subunit ribosomal RNA", at positions 526 to 896 of the family's 1533-position model. The record is from RNAcentral.
CGUAGGUGGCAAGCGUUGUCCGGAAUUAUUGGGUGUAAAGGGUGCGUAGGCGGGAAUAUAAGUCGGAUGUGAAAUGCCCGGGCUCAACUCGGGAGCUGCAUUCGAAACUAUAUUUCUUGAGUGAAGUAGAGGCAAGCGGAAUUCCUAGUGUAGCGGUGAAAUGCGUAGAUAUUAGGAGGAACACCAGUGGCGAAGGCGGCUUGCUGGGCUUUUACUGACGCUGAGGCACGAAAGCAUGGGGAGCAAACAGGAUUAGAUACCCUGGUAGUCCAUGCUGUAAACGAUGAAUGCUAGGUGUGGGGGGUCUGACCCCUUCCGUGCCGGAGUUAACACAAUAAGCAUUCCACCUGGGGAGUACGGCCGCAAGGUUG